This 1521-nucleotide ribosomal RNA is filed under the name uncultured Planctomycetales bacterium. Its description in RNAcentral is "16S ribosomal RNA". It matches the Rfam family "Bacterial small subunit ribosomal RNA". The record is from RNAcentral. Lineage: Bacteria; Pseudomonadati; Planctomycetota; Planctomycetia; Planctomycetales.
CAUGCAAGUCGAACGAGGAUAUACCUUUCGGGGUAUAAACCGAGUGGCGCAAGGGUGAGUAAUGCAUAGAUUACCUGCCUCUAGGAUAAGGACAACUUUGUGAAAACGAAGCUAAUACUUAAUAAUACAAGAGAGAAUAAUUCUUUUUUGUCAAUGGGAGGGUAGCAAUACCUUUUGCCUAGAGAGGGGUUUAUGUCCUAUCAGCUUGUUGGUGGGGUAAUGGCCUACCAAGGCGAAGACGGGUAGCCGGUCUUAGAGGAUGGUCGGCCACACUGGGACUGAGACACUGCCCAGACUUCUACGGAAGGCUGCAGUCGAGAAUCUUUCGCAAUGCCCGAAAGGGUGACGAAGCGACGCCGCGUGAGUGAGGAAGGCCUUCGGGUUGUAAAGCUCUGUCAGGUGUUAAGAAAUAUAAGUGUGCUAAUACCACAUUUAUUUGACAAAGGCGCCAAAGGAAGCCACGGCUAACUCUGUGCCAGCAGCCGCGGUAAUACAGAGGUGGCAAGCGUUGUUCGGAAUUAUUGGGCGUAAAGAGCACGUAGGUGGGUUCGUAAGUCAGAUGUGAAAGCCUUCUGUUCAACGGAAGAAUUGCAUCUGAAACUGCGAGUCUUGAGUGUAGGAGGGGAGAAUGGAACUUCUGGUGGAGCGGUGAAAUGCGUAGAUAUCAGAAGGAACGCCGGCGGCGAAAGCGAUUCUCUGGCCUAUUACUGACACUCAGUGUGCGAAAGCUAGGGGAGCAAACGGGAUUAGAUACCCCGGUAGUCCUAGCUGUAAACGAUGGGCACUAAGUAGAGGGAAUUACCGAUGUUCUCUCUGCCGUAGCUAACGCAUUAAGUGCCCCGCCUGGGGAGUACGGCCGCAAGGCUGAAACUCAAAAGAAUUGACGGGGGCUCGCACAAGCGGUGGAGCAUGUGGCUUAAUUCGAUGCAACGCGAAAAACCUUACCGGGGCUUGACAUGGUAGAAGUAGGAACCCGAAAGGGUAACGAACGGUAUCCAGUCCGUAGCUAUCACAGGUGUUGCAUGGCUGUCGUCAGCUCGUGUCGUGAGACGUUGGGUUAAGUCCCCUAACGAGCGAAACCCUUGUUUUUAGUUACCAGCGGGUUAUGCCGGGUACUCUAGAAAGACUGCCGUCGUCAAGACGGAGGAAGGUGGGGAUGACGUCAAGUCAUCAUGGCCCUUAUGCCCCGGGCUGCACACGUGCUACAAUGGUCGGUACAAACGGAAGCGAAGCCGAGAGGUGGAGCGAAUCCUAAAAAGCCGAUCUCAGUUCGGAUUGGAGGCUGAAAUUCGCCUCCAUGAAGUUGGAAUCGCUAGUAAUCGCGGAUCAGCAUUGCCGCGGUGAAUAUGUUCCCGAGCCUUGUACACACCGCCCGUCAAGCCACCCAAGCAGGAUGCACCCGAAAACAUUAUAUCUAACCAGGUUUACCUGGAGGAAAGUGUUGAAGGAGUGUUUUGUGAGGAGGACUAAGUCGUAACAAGGUAGUCGUAGGAGAACCUGCGGCUGGAUCACCUCCUUUCU